GAUUUGAACGCAGGUCGAUUGUUUAUGCUUCUUGUUUAGAGGGCUCUGACCCAGUACGCUUAUUUGAAAAGCGAAUGAACGUCCGUCGAGAAGCCGGGUAUGAAUUUGACAGGGCAUCAUUACUUGGAUAUAAUCCCAUGAGCUUCGGAGGACCCCCUGUCACUGUUGAAACCGUCGAGGAAGCAGAUGAGCUCCUGCGCAAUGAUGAAAAGGAAUCUGCAAUUGAAGCAGAAGUUCUUGCAGCUCCUCCAAAAUUGAUUUACAAGGAAACUUUUGGUUGCACUCAUGGAUAAAUGGGACAGUCAUGUGCUUGUUAUUGACAACGUUGCCCCUCCAAUUUGGAAGGAUGAGCCAGCAGGGAGAAUGUUGGAGCUUUGCAUCCUCCACCUGGCAAUGUCAGAAAUAACAGUGCUGGAAACAAGACACCCAAUUGUCAUUAACGAGGCCGUCGAUCUUGCUAAAUGGUUCUGUGAUGGAUCAGCACCCCGUAUUAUCAAAGGUUGUCUGAGAACAUUAGUGAAACAAAUUGAAGAAGCUGGUGGUCUAACUCCGGCCUUGGGGUAUAAACAGAAAGUGGUCACUCGAUGAAUGAACUUGUCUUGUUUGCACGUUUUGUCGUAUUGUGAGUGGAAAUUUUGACAGUUGUUGGUAGGGUGAAGAAGAGUGUCAGUUUAGGAGUAAUGGCUUUAAUUUGUCGGUGUUGGAAAACAUUGAAGGGGGAUUCUUGAAUGAGAAAUGGAAGCCAUAGAGAGAUGGGCAAACCAGUGUUAUAGUAGCUGUACUGAAAAUGUAAGAGUUAUUAAUAGUAUGUAUAUGAUAAAUGGUGUAAUAUUAUUUUAGGAUGAUGUCAUAAGUGGGCUAGUUAAAAUGUUUCGUCAUGUAAUGUCAUCUAUUUUCUUCUUUGUUUC
Pyrus x bretschneideri (Chinese white pear) is the source of this 908-nucleotide long non-coding RNA. RefSeq lists it as uncharacterized. The transcript has 6 exons. NCBI's taxonomy places the organism in Eukaryota, Viridiplantae, Streptophyta, Magnoliopsida, Rosales, Rosaceae. The record is from RefSeq and is a predicted model, not a curated record.